AUGGGAACAAGACAGGAAAACCUCCCCUGGUUUAUUUGGAAUUGGUUUGAUGAAUCUCAAAUCCUUGAGGAGUCUGGAGCUCUUCCGGGCAGCAGGAGAUCAGCCAAUGGACCCCACUCCUGGGAGCGGGAAGCUGGCCAGUGCAAUUUGCAGCAUGGACUCUUUCUGCUGCCCCAGUGCUGCUUGCUACAAGCCCUUAGUCUACAGGGGUCCAUACUGGCAGUAGGAGAGAAGGUCUUCUCCACCAAUGGCAGUCUGCCACUUUUGAUGCCUUUCGGGAGGCAUGCCCCAAAGCAGGCGGCCACAUUGUUGUCGUGAGGAGUCCAGAGGAAAACGAGGCCGUUGCAAGCUUCGUGAAGAAGUACAACACGUAUGCCUAUGUGGGCCUGAUUGAAGGUCCAAGCCCUGGAGACUUCCGCUACUCAGAUGGGACCCUUGUAAACUACACCAACUGGUACCCAGGGGAGCCCGCGGGUCGGGGAACAGAGCAGUGUGUGGAGAUGUACACAGACGGGCGGUGGAAUGACAGGAACUGCCUGUACAACCGACUGACCAUCUGUGAGUUCUGAGAGGCAUUUAUGCCACAGGACAGGGAGGAUCCUGUCUGGCCUUCGGUUUCCAUCCCCAGUAUCCGCUUGGUCUGUGAGAUGCUGGAACUCCCUUUCAACAGAAUUCACUUGUGGCUAUUAGGGCUGACGGCAUCCUUAACCACUUCAUUCCCCUGAUGGGCCCUGACUCUUCCCCCAAAUCACUGGCCAGCCUUGACACUCCCCUUGCAAACCCUCCCAGCACUGCACCCCAGGCAGCCACUCCUAGCCCUGGCCUUCGGCAUGAGAUGGAGCCCUCCUUAUGCCCCAUCUGGUCCAGUUCCUUCACUUACAGAUGGCAGCAGUGAGGUCGUGGGGUAGAAGGACCCUCCGAAGUCACACAGAGUGCCUGCCUCCAGGUGCCCUAGCUCUCCCUCUGCAGCCCACUGCGUGCCCAGUGCCAUCAGGAUGAGCAGUCCUGGCCAAGCAUGAUGACAGAGAGAGGCAGACUUCAAAGAAGCCCUGACUGUGCAGAGGUAAGGCCGCAGUGGUGAUUCUCUGGCACUCUGAGG
Mandrillus leucophaeus (drill) is the source of this 1099-nucleotide RNA transcript. It is a transcript of the gene named pulmonary surfactant-associated protein A-like, with no coding region annotated. The transcript is spliced from 2 exons. The record is from RefSeq and is a predicted model, not a curated record. NCBI's taxonomy places the organism in Eukaryota, Metazoa, Chordata, Mammalia, Primates, Cercopithecidae.